UACGUAGGGUGCAAGCGUUGUCCGGAAUUAUUGGGCGUAAAGAGCUCGUAGGCGGUUUGUCGCGUCUGCUGUGAAAACGCGAGGCUCAACCUCGCGCCUGCAGUGGGUACGGGCAGACUAGAGUGCGGUAGGGGAGAUUGGAAUUCCUGGUGUAGCGGUGGAAUGCGCAGAUAUCAGGAGGAACACCAAUGGCGAAGGCAGAUCUCUGGGCCGUAACUGACGCUGAGGAGCGAAAGCGUGGGGAGCGAACAGG
Molecule: ribosomal RNA, 253 nt
Filed under: uncultured bacterium
Lineage: Bacteria
Description: partial 16S ribosomal RNA
Rfam family: Bacterial small subunit ribosomal RNA
Source: RNAcentral